Non-coding RNA from Callithrix jacchus (white-tufted-ear marmoset), 970 nucleotides. The record is from RefSeq and is a predicted model, not a curated record. NCBI's taxonomy places the organism in Eukaryota, Metazoa, Chordata, Mammalia, Primates, Cebidae.
UUCCUCCCAUCAAGCUGCUGCUUCCCUAUGCAGUCUUACAGCACUUACUACGAGGUGGUAUCUUACUGGUGUGAUUCUAUGUCCAUUUUCCUACCAGUACCCUAACGGCCGAGUGGGCAGGGACUGUGUGUUCGUUGGCUGAGCCUAGUAUCCUGCCUACUGUAGUGCCUGACACAUAGUAGGCAUUGAAUCCAUAUUUGCUGAAUAAAGUAAUGAGUAAAAUCUGGGUAACAGAAGUGAUAAUCAGGUCUUUUUUUUUUUUUUUUUUUGAGACGGAGUUUCACUCGUUACCCAGGCUGGAGUGCAAUGGCGGGAUCUCGGCUCACCGCAACCUCCGCCUCCUGGGUUCAGGCAAUUCUCCUGCCUCAGCCUCCCGAGUAGCUGGGAUUACAGGCACGCACCACCAUGCCCGGCUAAUUUUUUGUAUUUUUAGUAGAGACGGGGUUUCACCAUAUUGACCAGGACGGUCUCGAUCUCUUGACCUCGUGAUCCACCCGCCUCGGCCUCCCAAAGUGCUGGGAUUAUCAGUCUUUUUUUUGUAGUUGCUUAGGUACUUCAUUUUGUUAAAAGGGACAUCUUAAUAGCUAAUUACUUAGUGCCCUUACUGCCAUCUAGUGGUGACAGAUGUUACUAUACUUCUGGGUCCCUUCUCAAUGACUGCAAGAUCUGUUACUGUACUGGCAGAGAAGGGAAUCAGGAUAUGCAAGGUAUCUGCUGGGUGUUUGCCUUGUUUCAGGUAUUGUACCAGGAAGUUUACAACACUACCUACUUGUUACACGAGCAAAGGGAGUGUAAGCUGCUUUCCCAUGGUCACCAGCUAAGGAGGAGACCUCAAUUCAACACUUGAGAUGGAAUCUUGCUAUGUCACCCAAGCUGGAGUGCAGUGGCGCCAUCUUGGCUCACUGCAAUCUCUGCCACCCCGGUUCCAGCGUUUCUCCUGCCUCAGCCUCCUGAGUAGUUGGGAUUACAG